GUGGCUAGAAUUCUCCAGAUAGUUUGGGAAGGUAGAUAACUUGAACCCUGAUCUAAGGAAAAGGUAAAAAUUGAAACAUUUUCCUAUGGGGCAUUUCGGUAGCAAAAGUCAAAAAGAUAGCCAUACAUUAGUUCUGUUUUCUACAGACAAAAGGCACAGUGUUUCUGGAAAAAGGACUGGUUUAGUUUGGUUUUGUUCCAAUAAGUCUCCUUACAUAAUAAUCUCUGAGAAACAUAGUAUCAGAUGUGGGAAGCCUCGAAUGGUGCCUCCAAGAACUUCUGGUCAAGCUGCUAGAACCUGUCUGGGUCUCUCGUCACAUCCUCCUUCCCAGUUGUGUAUAGCCACCAGCAAGAGGGAAUGUUUCGGGCAUAUAUUCUAUAGUACCUCUAAAUUGAAGUCUAAGAAGUAAACAAAUGGCACUUUAUAA
RNAcentral lists this long non-coding RNA (427 nucleotides) under Rattus norvegicus (Norway rat). Its description in RNAcentral is "long non-coding RNA NONRATT019797". The record is from RNAcentral. Lineage: Eukaryota; Metazoa; Chordata; Mammalia; Rodentia; Muridae.